AUGAGGAACACAAAAGUCAUGUGUAAACAAAAAAUCUCUGUGUAGUGAUAUUUGACACAUUUCUAUGAUAAACAAAUAACUGAGCUGAACCAUUAGUGUUAAUUUAGAAAAUAAGGGAACACAGAAUAAAUGUGUAAAAACCAUGGAGCUAUGAAAUGUGUUCAAAGUAUUAAAAUUUCAAAGAACUUAUUGUGUUGAAAUUGGGAUUUUUUACCAUGAGGAGCGACAUCGCAAAAGGAUACUCGGGGUUUGCUAAAUUACGGAAAAAUGAAUCACACUUCGUACCCCGAAAAUUUAACCACAUAUGUAAAAAUGUCUCAGCUUCGAAACAAGCCAUCAUACAUAUACAAGUUUACGAUAUGGGCUGAGCAACAGAAGAAAACGUUACCAUUACGGCCUAUGGAAUAACAAUUGCGCAUAUUGCCCCAUCUUGUGAGGAAGGAUCCAGAGAUGUCUUAAGCUAAUUUCACCUUGUACACCACAGAAAAUUGUUAAAAUGAUGUUCCAGACAUAUCAUUACUUUUAAAUAUGAGAUGACAAACUAAAGGUUUUAAAAAGUCCUGAAUAACUGAAAUGGACAAAAAUACACAGAUUUAUUCAGAAUGUCAUACCGAUGAAGAUCACCUAAAAAUAUUUGGAAAAAUCAGAACUAUGGAUUUCAAUAUGGGACAAUACCCCUAAUGAGCCUUGAAAUGAGGAACACAAAAGUCAUGUGUAAACAAAAAAUCUCUGUGUAGUGAUAUUUGACACAUUUCUAUGAUAAACAAAUAACUGAGCUGAACCAUUAGUGUUAAUUUAGAAAAUAAGGGAACACAGAAUAAAUGUGUAAAAACCAUGGAGCUAUGAAAUGUGUUCAAAGUAUUAAAAUUUCAAAGAACUUAUUGUGUUGAAAUUGGGAUUUUUUACCAUGAGGAGCGACAUCGCAAAAGGAUACUCGGGGUUUGCUAAAUUACGGAAAAAUGAAUCACACUUCGUACCCCGAAAAUUUAACCACAUAUGUAAAAAUGUCUCAGCUUCGAAACAAGCCAUCAUACAUAUACAAGUUUACGAUAUGGGCUGAGCAACAGAAGAAAACGUUACCAUUACGGCCUAUGGAAUAACAAUUGCGCAUAUUGCCCCAUCUUGUGAGGAAGGAUCCAGAGAUGUCUUAAGCUAAUUUCACCUUGUACACCACAGAAAAUUGUUAAAAUGAUGUUCCAGACAUAUCAUUACUUUUAAAUAUGAGAUGACAAACUAAAGGUUUUAAAAAGUCCUGAAUAACUGAAAUGGACAAAAAUACACAGAUUUAUUCAGAAUGUCAUACCGAUGAAGAUCACCUAAAAAUAUUUGGAAAAAUCAGAACUAUGGAUUUCAAUAUGGGACAAUACCCCUAAUGAGCCUUGAAAUGAGGAACACAAAAGUCAUGUGUAAACAAAAAAUCUCUGUGUAGUGAUAUUUGACACAUUUCUAUGAUAAACAAAUAACUGAGCUGAACCAUUAGUGUUAAUUUAGAAAAUAAGGGAACACAGAAUAAAUGUGUAAAAACCAUGGAGCUAUGAAAUGUGUUCAAAGUAUUAAAAUUUCAAAGAACUUAUUGUGUUGAAAUUGGGAUUUUUUACCAUGAGGAGCGACAUCGCAAAAGGAUACUCGGGGUUUGCUAAAUUACGGAAAAAUGAAUCACACUUCGUACCCCGAAAAUUUAACCACAUAUGUAAAAAUGUCUCAGCUUCGAAACAAGCCAUCAUACAUAUACAAGUUUACGAUAUGGGCUGAGCAACAGAAGAAAACGUUACCAUUACGGCCUAUGGAAUAACAAUUGCGCAUAUUGCCCCAUCUUGUGAGGAAGGAUCCAGAGAUGUCUUAAGCUAAUUUCACCUUGUACACCACAGAAAAUUGUUAAAAUGAUGUUCCAGACAUAUCAUUACUUUUAAAUAUGAGAUGACAAACUAAAGGUUUUAAAAAGUCCUGAAUAACUGAAAUGGACAAAAAUACACAGAUUUAUUCAGAAUGUCAUACCGAUGAAGAUCACCUAAAAAUAUUUGGAAAAAUCAGAACUAUGGAUUUCAAUAUGGGACAAUACCCCUAAUGAGCCUUGAAAUGAGGAACACAAAAGUCAUGUGUAAACAAAAAAUCUCUGUGUAGUGAUAUUUGACACAUUUCUAUGAUAAACAAAUAACUGAGCUGAACCAUUAGUGUUAAUUUAGAAAAUAAGGGAACACAGAAUAAAUGUGUAAAAACCAUGGAGCUAUGAAAUGUGUUCAAAGUAUUAAAAUUUCAAAGAACUUAUUGUGUUGAAAUUGGGAUUUUUUACCAUGAGGAGCGACAUCGCAAAAGGAUACUCGGGGUUUGCUAAAUUACGGAAAAAUGAAUCACACUUCGUACCCCGAAAAUUUAACCACAUAUGUAAAAAUGUCUCAGCUUCGAAACAAGCCAUCAUACAUAUACAAGUUUACGAUAUGGGCUGAGCAACAGAAGAAAACGUUACCAUUACGGCCUAUGGAAUAACAAUUGCGCAUAUUGCCCCAUCUUGUGAGGAAGGAUCCAGAGAUGUCUUAAGCUAAUUUCACCUUGUACACCACAGAAAAUUGUUAAAAUGAUGUUCCAGACAUAUCAUUACUUUUAAAUAUGAGAUGACAAACUAAAGGUUUUAAAAAGUCCUGAAUAACUGAAAUGGACAAAAAUACACAGAUUUAUUCAGAAUGUCAUACCGAUGAAGAUCACCUAAAAAUAUUUGGAAAAAUCAGAACUAUGGAUUUCAAUAUGGGACAAUACCCCUAAUGAGCCUUGAAAUGAGGAACACAAAAGUCAUGUGUAAACAAAAAAUCUCUGUGUAGUGAUAUUUGACACAUUUCUAUGAUAAACAAAUAACUGAGCUGAACCAUUAGUGUUAAUUUAGAAAAUAAGGGAACACAGAAUAAAUGUGUAAAAACCAUGGAGCUAUGAAAUGUGUUCAAAGUAUUAAAAUUUCAAAGAA
Molecule: long non-coding RNA, 2953 nt
Organism: Mytilus trossulus (common blue mussel)
Lineage: Eukaryota; Metazoa; Mollusca; Bivalvia; Mytilida; Mytilidae
Exons: 9
Source: RefSeq, a predicted model, not a curated record